Long non-coding RNA from Gadus morhua (Atlantic cod), 197 nucleotides. RefSeq lists it as uncharacterized. The transcript is spliced from 3 exons. The record is from RefSeq and is a predicted model, not a curated record. Lineage: Eukaryota; Metazoa; Chordata; Actinopteri; Gadiformes; Gadidae.
CUCCACUCCACCUGCCACCUCCACUCCACCUGCCACCUCCACUUCAGAGAAAUAUGUUACAGAGGCUUGGGACGGCAAAAAUGUUCAUGUUCUGCUGUCCAGAAUCGGACCAUACAAGCUGUUCUAUUGGGACAUCUGUAGGACAACUCCGGGUCAGGAACUUGAGAGUGAGGUGAUCAAUGCCACCCUGUUCAGAA